ACUGUAAUGGUAGACAAUAAUCCAAGAGCACUAGGCGAUGACAAGAACAAACAAAGACCACUCGGUAUGGUCCCAAAUCUUGAGCUGGCUCUAGGAGAGGAUGAAACUACUACAACCACAGGAGUCCUUUUGCCCUUCAUGGCUGGACCUAGCGCCAGUGAAAAACAUAGAAGUAGCAAUAGCCAGAAGGCAGAAGAAGAGAAUGCAGCUUCUCUCUCACUAUCCUUGUCCUUCUCAUCCUUGGAGAAGGAACAACAACAACAACAAAGACAACAGCAGAAUCAGAGACGAGUAUUAAAUAAUCCAGGAAAUCUAUACUAUACUAAAAGGGGGAUAUAAGCCAUGGAGAGGGUGUCCACAUAGGAUAGAAAAAUCAACCAAUCAGAAAACCCGAAAUUGCCAUGUCAUCUCAUUUAUUUUUCGUAAAAAAUAAAAAAACAAUGCAAAGGUGAAAAUCGAACCCGGGUUAGUAUGAUAUAUAUAUAGGACAAUUACAUGAAUAAUCUUGCUUGGAUAGUAUCAUGAAUGUUUUAGUUGUUAGUCGAUAUGUGAGCAACAAAAAGUCGUUAACUUUUCAUGUAAAGCUGCUUCCUUUUUAUUGAUUACAUUCUCUCUUUUGUUAUUCAUGAAGGCUGAUAGAAGAGAUGGGAAUCGUUACAUUGGUCUGACAGGUCGUUAUAAAUUGGAGUCUGGAACUUGUAAUGUCUGCUCUGCUCCUUGUUCGUCUUGUGUGCAUCGUAAUGCGGGUUCAGUGUCAGAAGAGUCUCCGGGUGAAAACUCCCAUGGUGUAGUGGCGAGCCAGUGUUCUUUCAACGAGGGAGAUCUAUUGCGUUCUUCUCGCCUUAAUCUUGUUCAUGAUACUUCCUCUGAGCAUUCUGAGAGUCAAGAAGUUGUAAGGUCUUCUAAUCAUCAAGUCAAGAAAAGUGUUUUAGUUGAAAGCUCUACGCACUCAGUAAUUGGGAUGGUUGGGGAAUCGGGAGAGAAUAUUGUCUUAAAUAAGGGAGAGGAACCAAACACAUUAGCUAUGUCUGACUGUGAGAGUGCUGAUUCUGAACCGCAGGAAGUUGAUGUAAGUAAUGCUUUUUUGUUGCAAUAUUUUACUUUCAUCUCGCAGUUACAGAAAUCUCAAGUGAAAAUGUUGUCUUUGGUGUUGAGCAGGUGAAAAUUUGUGACACUUGUGGAGAUGCGGGCCGUGAGGAUUUGCUUGCUAUCUGCAGCAGAUGCAGUGAUGGUGCAGAACACACGUAAGCCUGUUUCAGUUAGUUCUUUUUGGAGUUUGAAUAUCAUAUUGUUAAUAGCGCAGCGCUUUAUUUGCUAGUGAUAUAGUUGCGUUUUCUUACUUUUAGCUAUUGCAUGCGAGUAAUGCUUAAAAAAGUUCCAGCGGGUGAUUGGCUUUGUGAAGAAUGCAAGUUUGCUGAGCAAGCAGAAAAGCAGAAGCGAGACAAAGGUGAAUAAUUUACCAUGCAUGUAGUGAAUUAGCGGAACUUGUCUUUCUCCUUUUUAUCUAAUGAAUUUGAGUUGAAACAUGCAGAAUCUAAGAGAAAGCAAGAAAGUGAGGCAAAUUUGAAUACACAGAGCUCCAGCAAAAGGCCCAUAGAUAGACCUGAGGCAGCUCCAGAUGCUAAAAGACAAGCAUUUGAGGCUCCAACAGGUUCACCAAAAAAACCUGUUCUCCCCAGGUUGCCCACUUUUUCCCGGGAAACAUCAUUUAAGCGCUUAGAGAAGACAACGAGAAAGCUAGCUCAUCACUCAUCUUUCAAUAGCCACUCCAGUGAUGACACAGAAAGCACACGAUCCACUGACUCACAGGUCCAAUCUCCUAAAGGUAGGAUAUAUGAUGUUGAAAAAAACUCUCAAACGCAGUUCUUCCUUGUUCUUGAUUAUUCUUUUUCAGGUAGUAUAAUAUUACCUUGUUAACAGCUUGUGCAGGCUCCCUUUUUAAGUCCAAGUCGUUUAAUUCUUCGAGCUCUAGACCAAAAGUGAGACCAGUGGAUGAUGUUAUGCCUAAGGAGGGGCUUUCUAGAAAAUUAGGUAGAUCAAUGUCAACUAGAUGUAUAGACGUAGGGAGCUCUGGUUGCAAUGACUCAAGAGUACAAGGUUCAAAGCAACUGAAAGAUCGGAGUACAGAAGCAUCCGGAGUCGAUCAGAAGCUAAUCUCACGUGGCAAUUCGUCCAGUUCCUAUGCAAAUAGUGCACGUGAUUUGAAGAGUUUGCAGUCUGAUGGUAAAGAAGGUAGCUUGACAAAGAAAGCCAGACAUCUAAGUCGAAACCGCCUGGAAGAUAUAGUUGCUUCUGGUACAUUUUCAUCUUACUGCUAUAUGCUUUUUGUUCUGCUAGUGAACUAUCUCCGCAUUUAAAGAUAUCAUGAUUGACACCUCGAGAUUUGUUUCUCACAUAUGCAGUGGGGGAUACACAUACGAAUGAAAAUAGCAAAGACGCUGUUGGUAGUCGCCGAAGGUCAUCUUUAAAAGACCUGUCAUCUCAAAAAAUUCAGACAGCCGAACCUGCUGAGACUUCAUGUUCCUCUGGAAGCAAUCUCUCUACCACGCGAAACAUUAGCGAGGAUGUUAAUAAAGGCAAUAGGUUGCGAGCAGCGGUCGAUGCUGCUCUCCGAAAAAAGCCUAGUUUCGGGAAGAACCGUGGUUUGGAGCAGUCUGAUUUGCCGUCAGUGUCUAAUGUGGAUUCUAGUUGCGAUAGGGCUCUUCAAAAUUUUCCCUCGAAGGUGCUGAGAGAUUGGCCUGUGGGAUUGCAAGGAGGGCAGGAGAUUGCAGUAAAUAGAAAACAGUCUACACUCGCUGGUGCUGAUGCAAUGGCUGCUCCUCAAUCUCUAGAGCCUGCAGUUCAUUUACAUUCGGUAAAGCCGGUCAUUAGAGAUUUGCCUGUGGGAUUGCAAAGAGGGCAUCCAAAUUUAAAUACCGACAAGCAGACGAUUGUAGUAAAUAGAAAACAGUCUACACUGGCUGGUACUGAUGCAAUUGCUGCUCCUCAAUCUGUAGAGCCUGUAGUUCAUUUACAUUCUGUAAAGCCGGUCAUGAGAGAUCUGCCGGUGGGAUUGCAAGGAGGGCAUCCAAAUUUACUGACAGACAAGCAGGCGAUUGCAGUAAAUAGAAAACAGUCUACACUCACUGGUGCUGAUGCAAUGGCUGCUCCUCAAUCUGUAGAGCCUGCAGUUCAUUUACAUUCUGUAAAGCCGGUCAUUAGAGAUUUUCCUGUGGGGUUGCAAAGAGGGCGUCCAAAUUUACAGACAGACAAGCAGACGAUUGCAGUAAAUAGAAAGCAGUUUCCACUCGCUAGUGCUGAUGCAAUGGCUGCUUCUCAAUCUGUAGAGCCUACGGUUCAUUUUCAUUCUGUAAAGCCUGUCAUGAGUGAUUUGCCUGGGGUUGACCCAUCUGUUCUGUCGACAACCUCAGCCAUCCCAGAGCCUGAAUACAUUUGGCAGUAUGGUUUUCAUUCCUUUUCGUGAAGAUCUCUGUUUUGGUUUUAUUGUUUUUGUUGAUAAACAUUAUUUUUCCUUUGACCAGAGGGGAGAUGGAGGUGCGGAAAAGCAGAAAUCUAUCGGCAAUGCAUUGUGGAAUGCAAGGGUAUCUAUCAACAUUAGCAUCACCCAAGGUUGCUGAAGUGGUGAACCAGUUUCCAGUAAAAGUGACCUUGAAUGAAGUACCCAGGCUAAGUACAUGGCCUUCGCAGUUUCAAGAUAUAGGUGCUAAGGAAGGCCAUGUGGCUCUUUUCUUCUUUGCCAAGGACAUCGUGAGGUGAAUUCAGAUCAUAUGUUUAUUCAUGUUUUAGUUUCUUCAAUGCUUUAUAUCCUAACGUAAUUGUUGCCUGUUACGCACAGUUAUGAGAGAAGUUACAAGCCCCUAGUAGAUAACAUGAUCCAGAAAGAUUUAGCUCUAAAAGGAAGCCUCGAGGGUGUUGAGCUUUUGAUUUUUGCCUCCAAUCAGCUUCCUCGGAACUGUCAGCGUAAGAACUCUUUACAUCAUGAACAUACAUUUGUUGCAAGUUUCACUGUUCUCAGUAGGGUUGAACUUCUGUAUUAAGUGCUUAGAGGUGCUAUAUCCUUGGCGUUUACAGGUUGGAACAUGUUCUUUUUCCUUUGGGGUGUAUUUCGAGGAAAAAACAAGAAAUGUUCUGAUCCACUCAAGAACAAACCUCUUCCGGCGUCUAAUGUUUUGCCAAAUAUGGGGAGAGUGUUUUCUACACGUGAGGGCUUUUACAAUGAAAAUCCAAGCAACAGAGAGUCCUUGCAAUCGUGCAUGAAGGUUGGUUAUUCUAGUCCUCUAAUUCACACCUGCCAUCUGUCUCUCGUUCUCUAUCACACCUCUAGUUAUACGGUUCGUUUCUGAAUCACGUAUGCCGUUUGUUUUUAUGCUCUAGUUAUGUAAAUAUCUUGCUCGUUAUCUAUUUUAGUUAUUAAGAGUGUUCAGGACCGUUUUGGACAGUUGCUAGGUUUAUCUAAAUAGUGUGCACAUAUUUGAUGGAUUCAUGGGUUUGAACAGGAGGAGAAUGCUAAAGAGGGUGAAGCGGGCGGUGGAGAUAGUGGAGCGGUGGAAGAAACUGAGGAAGGAGAGAUAGGUUCUUGCCCACAGUUGAAGGAUGAGAAGAUUUCAGGUAACAAUAAGGGUUUGCUUUCGGCUGUAAUGAGGUCAGGAAACAGAACAAACUUUUAGUUGUGUUCAUGAAUUGUUUGUUAUUGGAAUUGACAGGGCCUAGGAGAGUAAAUUCAUCUGACGUGAACCAUAAUGUGGACAUGGAUGAUCUGAAUAGUGAAGGGUUGUGUGAAGGACCAGCGAAUAAAAAGCUGAAGACAGGCACAGGAGUAGAAACCGAAUGUAACAUAUUUAGGAGGGAUACAUCUGGUCCCCGUCCCCGUGAGGAGGAAAAUGUGAUCAAGAAGAACCCAGUUGCAACGGAAAGGAUCGUGUUCCCUUUGGAUUUGAAUGAUGGAAAGGAAGAGGAUACUGUAAUGGUAGACAAUAAUCCAAGAGCACUAGGCGAUGACAAGAACAAACAAAGACCACUCGGUAUGGUCCCAAAUCUUGAGCUGGCUCUAGGAGAGGAUGAAACUACUACAACCACAGGAGUCCUUUUGCCCUUCAUGGCUGGACCUAGCGCCAGUGAAAAACAUAGAAGUAGCAAUAGCCAGAAGGCAGAAGAAGAGAAUGCAGCUUCUCUCUCACUAUCCUUGUCCUUCUCAUCCUUGGAGAAGGAACAACAACAACAACAAAGACAACAGCAGAAUCAGAGACGAGUAUCUG
Molecule: long non-coding RNA, 5255 nt
Filed under: Brassica napus (rape)
Lineage: Eukaryota; Viridiplantae; Streptophyta; Magnoliopsida; Brassicales; Brassicaceae
Description: long non-coding RNA (BNAP_LNC000866)
Source: RNAcentral